GAACAAGAAAACAUGCACGUCAAAAGGGGUCUUGACGCUGUGAUCCACCCCCAGCCUCAGCCCAGAUCCCAGCAUACAUGUAUCUGGCAUGCAUUGAGAGGCCCCCAAGCAUGAACCUAGGAUCUUCCCGUCAUGCACCAGGAAAAGGCGACUUGAGGACGCAGUGAGAAGCUGGCCAGCCGCCCCAUCCUGGUAAGAGAGCACUCAUCAGAAGCCAAACCCAUCUGGACUUUGACCUUGGACUUCCAUUCUUUGUAAUUAAAACAUCCCCUUUGGAUUUUCUCCCUGUUGCUACAGUCUAAAUAAAGUACUCAUCACUUUCAGUCUCUGACAACUUUUGAAAGUUAUACAUCCUGUA
Molecule: long non-coding RNA, 358 nt
Organism: Tupaia belangeri chinensis (Chinese tree shrew)
Lineage: Eukaryota; Metazoa; Chordata; Mammalia; Scandentia; Tupaiidae
Exons: 3
Source: RefSeq, a predicted model, not a curated record